GUAAGGUAACGGCUUACCAAGGCAACGAUGCAUAGCCGACCUGAGAGGGUGAUCGGCCACACUGGAAUCCAGACUCCUACGGGAGGCAGCAGUAGGGAAUCUUCCGCAAUGGGCGAAAGCCUGACGGAGCAACGCCGCGUGAGUGAUGAAGGUCUUCGGAUCGUAAAACUCUGUUAUUAGGGAAGAACAUAUGUGUAAGUAACUGUGCACAUCUUGACGGUACCUAAUCAGAAAGCCACGGCUAACUACGUGCCAGCAGCCGCGGUAAUACGUAGGUGGCAAGCGUUAUCCGGAAUUAUUGGGCGUAAAGCGCGCGUAGGCGGUUUUUUAAGUCUGAUGUGAAAGCCCACGGCUCAACCGUGGAGGGUCAUUGGAAACUGGAAAACUUGAGUGCAGAAGAGGAAAGUGGAAUUCCAUGUGUAGCGGUGAAAUGCGCAG
This 438-nucleotide ribosomal RNA is filed under the name Staphylococcus aureus. RNAcentral describes it as "bacterial SSU rRNA". It matches the Rfam family "Bacterial small subunit ribosomal RNA", at positions 252 to 693 of the family's 1533-position model. The record is from RNAcentral. Lineage: Bacteria; Bacillati; Bacillota; Bacilli; Caryophanales; Staphylococcaceae.